Molecule: non-coding RNA, 212 nt
Organism: Pseudomonas syringae pv. japonica str. M301072
Lineage: Bacteria; Pseudomonadati; Pseudomonadota; Gammaproteobacteria; Pseudomonadales; Pseudomonadaceae
Source: Rfam
AUCAGAGGCUUUGCAAAGAGUCUUCGAGUCGCCGCUCUCACACACCUCGCAGAGCCGAUUCGUGUCCGCACCGCCCACAAGGCAGUUUGACGAGGUUGCGACUGGAACGAAGUUGUCCCGAGGGACGGAAGCGUAAACGGUAACCCGGCAAGGCCGACGGUGAUGCACAACGCCACUGCAGGCCCGACUGUCCACCUGACAGCCUCAUGUCC